This is an RNA transcript of Carya illinoinensis, 2629 nucleotides long. It is a transcript of the gene named casein kinase 1-like protein 3, with no coding region annotated. The record is from RefSeq and is a predicted model, not a curated record. NCBI's taxonomy places the organism in Eukaryota, Viridiplantae, Streptophyta, Magnoliopsida, Fagales, Juglandaceae. The transcript has 17 exons.
UUUUACCUGUGUGGUUUCAGUUCUCUCUCAACUAUAAAACAAGAGUCUCUGCACCGCCCCCUUCUCGUUCUUUCUCAAUUUUUGAUCCUCCAGCUCUUCUUGUUCUUGUUCUUCGGAUCCAAACUCCAAAAUCCUAGCUGUCUUUUAUGCUAGAGAGAGAGAGAGAGAGAGAGAGAGAGCUUGAGGGAUCCGGAUCAUUGAAUCUCUACGAUGGAACGGAUCGUCGGCGGUAAGUACAAGCUCGGCCGCAAGAUCGGCAGCGGAUCGUUUGGUGAAAUCUUCCUCGCUACGCAUAUCGAUACAUUUGAGAUCGUCGCCGUUAAGAUUGAAAACGGUAAAACUAAGCAUCCGCAGCUCCUUUAUGAGGCCAAGUUAUACAAUAUUCUUCAAGGAGGAAGUGGUAUUCCUAGCAUAAGAUGGUCUGGUGUAGACGGGGAGGACAAUGUGCUUGUGCUCGAUUUGUUAGGACCCAGUCUUGAGGACCUGUUGGUGUAUUGUGGGAGGAAGUUCUCAUUGAAGACAGUUCUAAUGUUGGCUGAUCAAAUGAUUACAAGAAUAGAGUACGUGCACUCUAAAGGAUUCUUGCAUAGAGACAUAAAACCUGAUAACUUCCUCAUGGGUCUUGCUCGGAAAGCAAACCAGGUUUACAUGAUUGACUUUGGGCUUGCAAAAAGAUACCGGGAUGCAACAACCAAUCGCCAUAUUCCUUACAGGGAGAAUAAAAACUUGACGGGGACUGCACGUUAUGCAAGUUGCAAUACUCAUCUUGGAAUUGAGCAAAGCCGGCGGGAUGAUUUAGAAUCACUGGGAUAUGUGCUUUUAUAUUUUUUGAGGGGAAGCCUUCCAUGGCAGGGUUUAAAGGCUGCCACAAAGAAGCAGAAGUAUGACAAAAUAUGUGAGAAGAAGUUAUCAACUCCUAUAGAGGUUCUCUGCAAAUCUCAUCCAGUGGAGUUUGCUUCAUACUUUCAUUACUGCCACUCACUGACAUUCGAUCAGCGACCUGAUUAUGGAUUCUUGAAGCGUCUGUUCCGCGACUUGUUUGCUCGUGAAGGAUAUGAAUUUGAUUUCAUAUUUGAUUGGACAAUCAUAAAGUAUCAGCAGUCACAAAAGAAUAGAACCCAGUCUCGAUUAUCUUCUGUUCCUGUAGGUAGCAGUAGCCGUGCAAUGCCACUAGAUGUGGACAAUCAUCAAGGGGGUGUUACUGUUCCUUUUUCAGCUGAAGUAACAGAGCGCAUUAGACCUGGAAAUGCUACUGGUCCUGGUUUCCGGAUGCAUUUUAAAUCACCAAUUGCCAAGAAUUUAAGUUCUGAGAAUCCUAUUGAGAAGAAUGUGCAGACCGAAGAACACGUGGCCUCUACUUCAUAUGCACUUGCUGGUUCCUCUAAAAGAAAUUCCUCAAAGCUUGCAAUGCCCACUGAUACUACAAAUCCUGGUAAUGGACAUGGCAAUCGAAUGGGUCCUUCAAGUAGCUGGAUAUCGUCACUGCCACGUAUCUCGUCUGCAAAGUGAUUUAUGUGUUUUGUUUUGUUGUGGAUCUGCUCAAGAACAUUCUAGGGACACAACGUUUGAAGCUGUAAAUGUGUGGUGGUCGGAGUUUUGUUCUUCACUUUGUGUCUGUUGAGAAGAUUCUGGUAAUGCAUCUACAGAGGCUGCAAUGUGCCACUGAUGUGAUGUGCUGCAUUGGUUCCUCUAUUGAUGCCAGCUUGCGUAAUUUUUUCUUAAGACCCCUGGGUGUUCUGCUGGAGGAAUUUCACCUAGUGCACUAAUCUUGAUGUCCAUGUUAUGUGUCUUAUCUGAAGCAUCCCUAAGAUUUCUUUUUCCACAACAUUGUUUGCAGGAUGAAACGUGGCAGGGAGCUGCUUACUGAGGAAGAAGGCAUAUAGGAAAUGUUGGCAUUAUGGGAUUUCAUGUAUGCUGAUCAAGAGAUUUAGACCCUCUUGAUGUCAACAAAAAUCGUGAAAUUGGUGGUUUCUUACCAGGCAGGACCGGGAGGGUAGUAAAUGCACCACAAUUAGUAGUUGGAUAUGGUGAAAUCUGCAAAAAUCCUUUAUGCUGGAUCUUUGGCAUGCUGUUAAUAUCUGUGCUCUUCAGUCUGGAGAUCUAAGAACCCAUAACGUGUUGAUAGUCCAUUACCGUUUGAGAUGCAUUUUUUAUGCGAACUGCCACCAGGUACAUUACGUUUGAAAGCAGAUUCGAAUCGGAGUUAUUGAAUUCAUAUAUAGAUUGCAAGCAAGCCAUCACACACACUUGUGUGGAUCACCAACUCAUUUCCACGAUGUACAUGGGGAUCAUUUGGCUACGAGACUGGGAUUCCAGGCUGAAUUUCAGAAACUCAUUUUGGUGGCAUCUGCAUUCUAUUUCCACCUGAUAUCUGUUGGGGGUGUAUUUAAUGCCUCCAGUCAAUCUUAGCUCAGCCAAGGAAGUAGAAUGGAAGAUAAGAUAUUUGAAACGGGUAGUUUGCAAAUGCAGUCCAGGUGAGAGUUCUGAAGAGGUAAAAAGUCAUAUUGUAGAAAAGGGUGAUUCCUAUAAAGGGAGGUCUGUGUUCAUCGUCUUAGAUGCCACCACCCUUAUUUUUGCGUUUUGACUUCACCUCAAACCCUUUGGAAGCCUUUACAUUGUUUUUUGUUCA